GGGGGCGUGUGGGGUAAAGAAGGGAGUGCAGUGGAGUCAGCCCUUAGUGAACAAGUCUGCCUUGAAGGUGGAGAUGGGCACCCUUCUGGCUGAGUCUGCUCCAGCAGAGAGCUCAGGGGCCAGCAGCAGGCACCACAAGGAGCAAAGCAACUGGUGUAAGUCCCACAGCUUCCCACGACCAAGAGUGCUUCAUUCUGCCCAGGCAUCUGUUCAGUCCCAUCUUUUAUUUUAAGACCGGAUCUGGCUCUGUCACCCAGGCUAGAGUGCAGUGGUACAAUCUGGGCUCACUGCAGCCCGAACUCCUGGGUUCAAGCGAUCCUCCUACCACAGCGUCCCAAGCAGCUGGGAUUAUGGGGUGCACACCACCAUGCCCCGCUAAUUUUCUACUUUUUGUAGAGAUGGGGUCUCACUGUGUUGCCCAGGCUUGUCUCAAACUCCUGGGCCACUUCAGCUUUCCAAAGUGUUGGGAUUACAGGCAUGAGCCACUGCACCUGGCCUCAAUCUUUUCAAUAUUCUGUUUUUAAAAGCAGACAUCUCCCUGGUUGGAGCAAGGAGGAAACAGGGCUUUGGAAAGUUCUGAGAGCCAAGGAGAAGCCCCACAACAGUUCGAGAUCUUUCCAGAAUAAUCCACACUCCACCUCCUCAUCCCUCUUACCAAAGGGCGACACUUUGUUCCUGGGAGUAGGGGGAGAUAUACGCCCAGUACCUGUCCUCAUCAAACAAAGUCACAGGCACCCAAGGGCAGCCGCGCUGCCACCGAGGGCCCCCGGCUGCUCACCAGCACCAGUCAGCUCCUGCCUUUCUUAAAAGGAGACACGUGGCUCGCAUCCCCUCCCCGCCCUGAGGAGGCACGCGUCUCGGCCCUGCGCCAUGAAGAGGCACCUUCCCACCCCCGCCCCUCAAACGCGCGAGGCCACACGUUCCGACCUCCGCCACCUCCACAUGCCGCAACACUAGUGAGUGGGCGCCAGCUCCCAACGGUCGGGGGCGGAGCUAAGAGCGCCGCGCCCAAAAAAGGCGGCAAAGUCCCUGACUCGCUGAGAUCUUGCGAGCUGCGAUGUCUAUCCCCUUCAUCUCCUCUCCUCCGACAGCACGCCGUGAUUCCCCUAAGGCACCUUUCACCGUUAGGGAUGAGGACCCCGCGGCGGUUCUCGGUGUGGCUCUGAUUCACCGCCAUCUUGCUUCGGGCCUCCUCCUGCCGCCCCGCAGAUGGAAAGGGACGGGACCUGCGCCAAGUCUUGUGGCGUGGCUUUGAGGGGGAGGGCGCAGAUUAUGACGAAACCGCUGCCUUUCAGAGAAAGGGUCCAGAACAACUCCUCGCCUCCCUAGGCCCGCAGAACUUUCUUCCACCAGCGGAGGCCCAGAAGCCCUUGAGCGAGUCCCUGCCAGUUUCAGGAUCGAGUCCCUGCCAGUUCCAGGAUCGAAAGCGCCUUUGUCUCUGGGUUAUCUUUCAUGCCUGCCCUGCUUCCUCCAGGCCAGGUGUGGUGGCUUACACCUGUAGUCCCAGCUACUCAGGAGGCUGCGGCAGGAGGAUCGCUUGAGCCAGGGAGAUGGAAGCUGGGGAUGGCAGUGAGCGGUGAUCACACCACCACACUCCAGCCUGGGCGGCAGAGCAAGACCCUAUUUCAAAUAAUAAAAACAAACUUCACAAAUAGUAUCAGAGAUCUUCAAAGAGAUUAAAAAGAUCUUCAAAGAGAUGUAAACCUCUUCUUGACUACUGUAUUUCAUGGAAUUUAAGAUGCUAUUAAGUAUAAGAUGCAACAAUUUUUCAUGUACCGAGGAAAAAAAAAGUUGCCAAAUAAACUGACAUCCCAUCAAUUGUAAA
Molecule: non-coding RNA, 1825 nt
Organism: Macaca mulatta (Rhesus monkey)
Lineage: Eukaryota; Metazoa; Chordata; Mammalia; Primates; Cercopithecidae
Source: RefSeq, a predicted model, not a curated record